GAACUGCGAAUGGCUCAUUACACCAGCCUUAAUUUACUUGACCUUGACACCCUACUUGGAUAACUGUGGUAAUUCUAGAGCUAAUACAUGCACCAAAGCUCCAAUCUCCCCAGAGCGGAGCGCAUUUGUUCGCCACAAAACCAAGCGCCUCAGGGCGUUCAGUGUUGACUCAGAACAACUAAGCUGAUCGCACGGUCUUGCACCGGCGACGUGUCUUUCAAGUGUCUGCCUUAUCAACUUUCGAUGGUAGUGUAUCUGACUACCAUGGUGAUGACGGGUAACGGAGGAUAAGGGUUCGACUCCGGAGAAGGGGCCUGAGAAAUGGCCACUACGUCUAAGGAUGGCAGCAGGCACGCAAAUUACCCACUCUCGACGCGAGGAGGUAGUGACGAGAAAUAACGAGACCGUUCUCAUCUGAGGCCGGUCAUCGGAAUGGGUACAAUUUAAACCCUUUAACGAGUAUCUAUGAGAGGGCAAGUCUGGUGCCAGCAGCCGCGGUAAUUCCAGCUCUCAAAAUGCAUAGAAUUAUUGCUGCGGUUAAAAAGCUCGUAGUUGGAUCUGUGCUGAGCGACCGGUCUGCCCACUGGGCACGCACUGGCUCGCCCGGCUUUCCCUGCCGGUCUCUCUCUGACGUUGGUUUUAACCGGCUGGCGUCAGUGGGCUGGCGAGUUUACUUUGAACAAAUCAGAGUGCUUCAAACAGGCGUCUCGCCUGAAUGUUCGUGCAUGGAAUAAUAGAAGAGGAUCACGGUCCGAUUUUAUUGGUUUUGCUGACCGAGAUAAUGGUUAACAGAGACAAACGGGGCCAUUCGUAUUGCUACGUGAGAGGUGAAAUUCUUGGACCGUAGCAAGACGGACUACAGCGAAAGCAUUUGGCAAGAAUGUCUUCAUUAAUCAAGAACGAAAGUCAGAGGUUCGAAGGCGAUCAGAUACCGCCCUAGUUCUGACCGUAAACGAUGCCAACUAGCGAUCCGCCGGCGGAUUCAUUCGCCCUGGUGGGGAGCUUCCCGGAAACGAAAGUCUUCCGGUUCCGGGGGAAGUAUGGUUGCAAAGCUGAAACUUAGAGGAAUUGACGGAAGGGCACCACCAGGAGUGGAGCCUGCGGCUUAAUUUGACUCAACACGGGGAAACUCACCCGGCCCGGACACCGUAAGGAUUGACAGAUUGAUAGCUUUUUCAUGAUUCGGUGGAUGGUGGUGCAUGGCCGUUCUUAGUUCGUGGAGCGAUUUGUCUGGUUUAUUCCGAUAACGAGCGAGACUCUGGCCUACUAAAUAGUUGGCACAUUGCCACUGUGUGCACAACUUCUUAGAGGGAUUUUCGGUGUUCAGCCGCACGAAAUUGAGCAAUAACAGGUCUGUGAUGCCCUUAGAUGUCCGGGGCUGCACGCGCGCUACACUGGCAAAAUCAGCGUGCUUGUCCUCCCCCGAAAGGGGUUGGUAAACCGAUGAAAAUUUGCCGUGAUUGGGAUCGGACAUUGCAAUUAUUGUCCGUGAACGAGGAAUCCCUUGUAAGGGCGAGUCAUCAACUCGUCCUGAAUACGUCCCUGCCCUUUGUACACACCGCUCGUCGCUGCCCGGGACUGAGCCAUUUCGAGAAAACCGGGGAUUGUUGGCCUGACGGCUCUCGGGUCGUCUAGCCGAUGAGAACCGGCUUAAUCGCACUGGUUUGAACCGGGCAAAAGUCGUAACAAGGUAGCUGUAGGUGAACCUGCGGCAGGAUCA
Molecule: ribosomal RNA, 1720 nt
Filed under: Rotylenchulus reniformis
Lineage: Eukaryota; Metazoa; Nematoda; Chromadorea; Rhabditida; Hoplolaimidae
Description: SSU rRNA
Rfam family: Eukaryotic small subunit ribosomal RNA
Source: RNAcentral